GGAGCCAAAGCGAAAGCGAGUCUGAAAUGGGCGUUGGUAUCUGGGGCUGGACCCGAAGCCGAGGCGAUCUACCUAUGGCCAGGUUGAAGCGUGCGUAACAGCGCGUGGAGGACCGAACCGUUGUGGGUUGAAAACCGCUCGGAUGAGCUGUGGGUAGGGGUGAAAGGCCAAUCAACCUCCGUGAUAGCUGGUUCUCCCCGAAAUGCAUUUAGGUGCAGCGUUACGUGUUUCUUGCCGGAGGUAGAGCUACUGGAUGGCCGAUGGGCCUCACCAGGUUACUGACGUCAGCCAAACUCCGAAUGCCGGUAAGACAAAAGCGUGGCAGUGAGACGGCGGGGGAUAAGCUCCGUGCGUCGAGAGGGAAACAGCCCAGAUCGCCGACUAAGGCCCCUAAGCGUGUGCUAAGUGGAAAAGGAUGUGCAGUCGCGAAGACAACCAGGAGGUUGGCUUAGAAGCAGCCACCCUUGAAAGAGUGCGUAAUAGCUCACUGGUCAAGUGAUUGUGCGCCGAUAAUGUAGCGGGGCUCAAGCACACCGCCGAAGCCGCGGCAAUCAACUUUUCGUUGAUUGGGUAGGGGAGCGUCCUGCAUCCAGUGAAGCAGCCUAGUGAUGGAGCUGUGGAGGGUGUGGGAGUGAGAAUGCAGGCAUGAGUAGCGAAUAGGCAAGUGAGAACCUUGCCCGCCGAAAGACCAAGGGUUCCUGGGGCAGGCCAGUCCGCCCAGGGUGAGUCGGGACCUAAGGCGAGGCCGACAGGCGUAGUCGAUGGACAACGGGUUGAUAUUCCCGUACCCGUGUGUGUGCGUCCGUGAUGAAUCCAUUGUGCUAACCAUCCAAAUGGCACGUGAUGAUCCUUUCGGGGAUCACGUGUUGCCGGCUGCGUGGGACCCUGGUGGGUAGUAGUCAAGCGACGGGGUGACGCAGGAAGGUAGCCGUACCGGUCAGUGGUAAUACCGGGGUAAGCCUGUAGGACGAACGAUAGGCAAAUCCGUCGUUCAUAUGUCUGAGAGGUGAUGCAUAGCCGAGUGAGGCGAAUUCGGUGAUCCUAUGCUGCCAAGAAAAGCCUCUAGCGAGUGCACACAUGGCCCGUACCCCAAACCAACACAGGUGGUCAGGUAGAGAAUACUAAGGCGUACGAGUGAACUAUGGUUAAGGAACUCGGCAAAAUACCUCCGUAACUUCGGGAGAAGGAGGACCUCCUACUGUCAACACCCUCGCGGUGGGCAGCGGUGGGGGGUGGCACAAACCAGUGAGAAGCGACUGUUUACUAAAAACACAGGUCCGUGCGAAGUCGCAAGACGAUGUAUACGGACUGACGCCUGCCCGGUGCUGGAAGGUUAAGAGGACCUGUUAACCCUUCGGGGUGAAGCGGAGAAUUUAAGCCCCAGUAAACGGCGGUGGUAACUAUAACCAUCCUAAGGUAGCGAAAUUCCUUGUCGGGUAAGUUCCGACCUGCACGAAUGGCGUAACGACUUCUCAACUGUCUCAACCAUAGACUCGGCGAAAUUGCACUACGAGUAAAGAUGCUCGUUACGCGCGGCAGGACGAAAAGACCCCGGGACCUUCACUAUAGCUUGGUAUUGAUGUUCGGUUCGGUUUGUGUAGGAUAGGUGGGAGACUGUGAAACAAUUACGCCAGUAAUUGCGGAGUCGUUGUUGAAAUACCACUCUGAUCGUAUUGGACACCUAACGUCGAACCCUGAAUCGGGUUCACGGACAGUGCCUGGCGGGUAGUUUAACUGGGGCGGUUGCCUCCUAAAAUGUAACGGAGGCGCCCAAAGGUUCCCUCAACCUGGACGGCAAUCAGGUGUUGAGUGUAAAUGCACAAGGGAGCUUGACUGCGAGACUUACAAGUCAAGCAGGGACGAAAGUCGGGAUUAGUGAUCCGGCACCCCCGAGUGGAAGGGGUGUCGCUCAACGGAUAAAAGGUACCCCGGGGAUAACAGGCUGAUCUUCCCCAAGAGUCCAUAUCGACGGGAUGGUUUGGCACCUCGAUGUCGGCUCGUCGCAUCCUGGGGCUGGAGCAGGUCCCAAGGGUUGGGCUGUUCGCCCAUUAAAGCGGCACGCGAGCUGGGUUUAGAACGUCGUGAGACAGUUCGGUCUCUAUCCGCCGCGCGCGUCAGAAACUUGAGGAAACCUGUCCCUAGUACGAGAGGACCGGGACGGACGAACCUCUGGU
RNAcentral lists this ribosomal RNA (2174 nucleotides) under Puia sp. RNAcentral describes it as "partial 23S ribosomal RNA". It matches the Rfam family "Bacterial large subunit ribosomal RNA", at positions 662 to 2713 of the family's 2925-position model. The record is from RNAcentral. Lineage: Bacteria; Pseudomonadati; Bacteroidota; Chitinophagia; Chitinophagales; Chitinophagaceae.